AGGACGAACGCUGGCGACGUGCCUAAAACAUGCAAGUCGAACGAGGUAGCAAUAUCUAGUGGCGAACGGCGGAGUAAUACGUGAGCAACGUGCCUAGAAGACCGGGACAAACGCAGAAAUGCCAUGAAUACCGGAUGUUGUGCCCUAUUGAUUUUAGGUCACUAAAUGGAUUUAUUCGCUUCUAGAGCGGCUCACGGCCCAUCAGGUAGUUGGUAGGGUAACGGCCUACCAAGCCGACGACGGGUAGCGGGUCUGAGAGGAUGACCCGCUCGAGUGGGACUGAGACACGGCCCACACACCUACGGGUGGCAGCAGUUGGGAAUCUUGCGCAAUGGGGGAAACCCUGACGCAGCGACGUCGCGUGGAGGACGAAGGAUCGUAGGUCUGUAAACUCCUUUUUCACGGAAGACUUAGGACGGUACCGUGAGAAUAAGCACCGGCUAACUACGUGCCAGCAGCCGC
This 462-nucleotide ribosomal RNA is filed under the name uncultured bacterium. RNAcentral describes it as "SSU rRNA". It matches the Rfam family "Bacterial small subunit ribosomal RNA", at positions 26 to 518 of the family's 1533-position model. The record is from RNAcentral.